CAGGCAGCGAGAAAACUCGGGUGCCCCCAGUAAGUCUGGAAAAUCCCUAGGUUUCCUGAAAGGGAGCCCAGGAGAUGUGUAAAUGGAUCGUCUCAAAGGUAAAUAAAUGUAAGGGAGACGCAUCAAAGAAUAUUAAAUAGUGGGAAGGUCGUGAGUCAGGAAACCUCAGGUGUGAGUCUCACCAGCUUUGGGUGAUAUACUCGCCUUCUCCUGCCUUUGUAAAGUGCUUAGCUAAGUGACUGGCACGUACCAGGUGUUUGAUAAAUGACCGUUCCCUUCCUUCCCUUUUCCCAUUUGAAAAAUAGAGAAAAGAAACUCUUGCACACCUGGCCUCUCAGGAAUGAGAAUGGAAAUCGGUGCUUUGCCCUGUUCUCCAAGGAGCAGGGAGAUGAUCAGGCUCUAAUGGACCCAAAAAAGACGAUCCAAAAAGGAGCAAUCACGUCAUUCCCUGGAUCCACAGUGGUUGUAAGAAAAGUGAUUUGGAACUGGUGCCAAGGAAAUGUGACCUACUAAUAAAAGAAAACCAUUGGUGAUUUCUUUGAGACUGGUGAUCUUCGAUGAUGAUGAUGAUGACUUAAGAUGUGUC
RNAcentral lists this long non-coding RNA (586 nucleotides) under Phascolarctos cinereus (koala). RNAcentral's name for it is "lncRNA (ENSPCIG00000032246.1)". The record is from RNAcentral. Lineage: Eukaryota; Metazoa; Chordata; Mammalia; Diprotodontia; Phascolarctidae.